GAUGGACCCGCGGUGCAUUAGCUAGUUGGUGAGGUAACGGCUCACCAAGGCAACGAUGCAUAGCCGACCUGAGAGGGUGAUCGGCCACACUGGGACUGAGACACGGCCCAGACUCCUACGGGAGGCAGCAGUAGGGAAUCUUCGGCAAUGGACGAAAGUCUGACCGAGCAACGCCGCGUGAGUGAAGAAGGUUUUCGGAUCGUAAAACUCUGUUGUUAGAGAAGAACAAGGAUGAGAGUAGAACGUUCAUCCCUUGACGGUAUCUAACCAGAAAGCCACGGCUAACUACGUGCCAGCAGCCGCGGUAAUACGUAGGUGGCAAGCGUUGUCCGGAUUUAUUGGGCGUAAAGCGAGCGCAGGCGGUUUCUUAAGUCUGAUGUGAAAGCCCCCGGCUCAACCGGGGAGGGUCAUUGGAAACUGGGAGACUUGAGUGCAGAAGAGGAGAGUGGAAUUCCAUGUGUGGCGGUGAAAUGCGUAGAUAUAUGGAGGAACACCAGUGGCGAAGGCGGCUCUCUGGUCUGUAACUGACGCUGAGGCUCGAAAGCGUGGGGAGCGAACAGGAUUAGAUACCCUGGUAGUCCACGCC
Molecule: ribosomal RNA, 586 nt
Filed under: uncultured bacterium
Lineage: Bacteria
Description: bacterial SSU rRNA
Rfam family: Bacterial small subunit ribosomal RNA
Source: RNAcentral